UGGCGACCGGCGCACGGUGAGUAACGCGUAUGCAACUUACCUAUCAGAGGGGGAUAGCCCGGCGAAAGUCGGAUUAAUACCCCAUGAAACAGGGGUCCCGCAUGGGAGUAUUUGUUAAAGAUUCAUCGCUGAUAGAUAGGCAUGCGUUCCAUUAGGCAGUUGGCGGGGUAACGGCCCACCAAACCGACGAUGGAUAGGGGUUCUGAGAGGAAGGUCCCCCACAUUGGUACUGAGACACGGACCAA
RNAcentral lists this ribosomal RNA (245 nucleotides) under uncultured bacterium. RNAcentral describes it as "partial 16S ribosomal RNA". It matches the Rfam family "Bacterial small subunit ribosomal RNA", at positions 89 to 334 of the family's 1533-position model. The record is from RNAcentral.